RNAcentral lists this ribosomal RNA (404 nucleotides) under uncultured bacterium. RNAcentral's name for it is "bacterial SSU rRNA". It matches the Rfam family "Bacterial small subunit ribosomal RNA", at positions 355 to 776 of the family's 1533-position model. RNAcentral also lists the same sequence under 1 other name. The record is from RNAcentral.
UAGGGAAUAUUGCUCAAUGGGGGAAACCCUGAAGCAGCAACGCCGCGUGGAGGAUGAAGGUUUUCGGAUUGUAAACUCCUUUUGUUAGAGAAGAUAAUGACGGUAUCUAACGAAUAAGCACCGGCUAACUCCGUGCCAGCAGCCGCGGUAAUACGGAGGGUGCAAGCGUUACUCGGAAUCACUGGGCGUAAAGAGCGCGUAGGCGGGGUAGCAAGUCAGAUGUGAAAUCCUAUGGCUUAACUAUAGAACUGCAUUUGAAACUGUUACUCUAGAGUAUGGGAGAGGUAGGUGGAAUUCUUGGUGUAGGGGUAAAAUCCGUAGAGAUCAAGAGGAAUACUCAUUGCGAAGGCGACCUGCUGGAACAUUACUGACGCUGAUGCGCGAAAGCGUGGGGAGCAAACAGG